Molecule: transfer RNA, 77 nt
Filed under: bacterium
Lineage: Bacteria
Description: tRNA-Pro
Rfam family: tRNA
About the family: Transfer RNA (tRNA) molecules are approximately 80 nucleotides in length. Their secondary structure includes four short double-helical elements and three loops (D, anti-codon, and T loops).
Source: RNAcentral
CGGGGUGUGGCGCAGUUGGCUAGCGCGCAGCGUUCGGGACGCUGAGGUCGUGGGUUCAAGUCCCACCACCCCGACCA